This 407-nucleotide ribosomal RNA is filed under the name uncultured Gammaproteobacteria bacterium. RNAcentral describes it as "bacterial SSU rRNA". It matches the Rfam family "Bacterial small subunit ribosomal RNA", at positions 9 to 416 of the family's 1533-position model. Lineage: Bacteria; Pseudomonadati; Pseudomonadota; Gammaproteobacteria. The record is from RNAcentral.
GAGUUUGAUCGUGGCUCAGAGUGAACGCUGGCGGCAGGCCUAACACAUGCAAGUCGAGCGGCAGCGCGGGUAGCAAUACCUGGCGGCGAGCGGCGGACGGGUGAGGAAUACAUCGGAAUCUACCUUGUCGUGGGGGAUAACGUAGGGAAACUUACGCUAAUACCGCAUACGACCGAAAGGUGAAAGUGGGGGACCGCAAGGCCUCACGCGAUUAGAUGAGCCGAUGUCGGAUUAGCUUGUUGGUGAGGUAAUGGCUCACCAAGGCGACGAUCCGUAGCUGGUCUGAGAGGAUGAUCAGCCACACUGGAACUGAGACACGGUCCAGACUCCUACGGGAGGCAGCAGUGGGGAAUAUUGGACAAUGGGCGCAAGCCUGAUCCAGCCAUGCCGCGUGGGUGAAGAAGGCC